UACAGAGGGGGCGAGCGUUGUUCGGAAUUAUUGGGCGUAAAGGGCGCGUAGGCGGCUCCACAAGUCACUUGUGAAAACUCUGGGCUCAACUCAGAGCCUGCAAGCGAAACUGUGGUGCUGGAGUAUGGGAGAGGUGCGUGGAAUUCCCGGUGUAGCGGUGAAAUGCGUAGAUAUUGGGAAGAACAUCAGUGGCGAAAGCGCUCUACUGGACCUUAUCUGACAUUGAGGCACGAAAGCUAGGGGAGCGAAUAGG
Molecule: ribosomal RNA, 253 nt
Filed under: uncultured bacterium
Lineage: Bacteria
Description: partial 16S ribosomal RNA
Rfam family: Bacterial small subunit ribosomal RNA
Source: RNAcentral